AUGGUGGAGGACAAUGAAGAUGAUAGGCUCAGCAUUUUGCCUGAUGAUGUUUUGCUCAACAUUGUUGAGCGACUUGAUAUUGCUGACGCCACAAGAACCACCAUCCUCUCCAGACGUUGGAAGCAGAUCCCUGCAAUGCUAUCAAAAGUUGUUAUAAUGGCUGGUUCUUUUGAACCCAAGCACACAACAAGCAAGUUAACCUCAGAUGAUAUAAUUCGGUUCAACAGCACCAUGCUGGAAGCAACCAGGAGCAUACUGGAAAGGAGGGCUAGAACUUUAUACACCAUUCACCUGUUGCGCAUGCAAUUCUACUUGGGAGAUGAGUCCAUUUUCAUUGGCCAGACUGUUGCCAACACCAUAGCAACACAAAAGGUUGCUUCAGUUGAGUUUACAAUCUUGACGAAGGUGCGUAAAAAUUGUACAAAUAAUGAUCUACUGACAUAUGGGAGACAGUUCAUGUCAUUCUUUGAUUCGUGUCCAAACACAUUUGGUUGUCUCGCACGCCUCAGGCUAGAGAAUUUGAGGUUAGGAGAAUCAGACUUCCCCAAAAUUUUCAGUAUAUGCAAGCAACUAGAGUUCCUCUUCCUCUAUGAAUGUGACAUGGGUAUUAAGUCUUUGCUGGAAGUGGAACACCCGCAACUCAGUGAACUAGUGAUUGCCUCUGGCUGUCUUGAGAGGGUUCAUCUGAAGUGGGCACCAAAGCUCACAAUACUGAAAUUCAAUGUUUUUAGAACUAAAGACGACCCCUUCUGUCUUGGCUAUGUCCCACUGCUCCAGACUGUGAGCAUAAUCAAUACUGCUUUCUCCUGGCACAAGAUGCUCAAGUUAAGUGAGUUGCUUGGUAAAACUGCCAUAAGCAACCUGCAUUUGAACUUCAAAAGUGAAAAGAUUUGGGUCAAACCGGAAGGUCGAAGACAAUUGUUACCGGUGUUCCACAAACUUAGGAUUGUGAAUUUGCUUAACAUUUCUGAAGAAUGCGAUCUUUCUUGGACAAUGUUCUUACUCCAAGGUGCACCCAACCUUAAAGAACUGCGCGUCUUGGUGCGGGAUCAUUUAUGUGAAAUGAUAACAGGGGAGCGGAGGAAGAUGUGUCCAUUUAGCAAGCAGAAGGACAAAGGAUUACAGUGGGAACCGUCUACAACCGACUUAAAGCACCACAACCUAACUAAGCUCAGUAUCUAUGGGAGGUUUCAAGCAGAAGACAAAUUCGUGAGCUAUGCCAGAAGUGUCAUGGAAGCAGCAGUGAAUUUGGAGGAGAUAAAACUAUAUAAAAGUCCAGUGUGUUGGAAGUGCAAGCACCUGCUGCAGGAGUGGACAUUGGAGGAGAAGUCAUAUUUUAGCUACAAAAUCAACAAAGGGAUGCCCUCGCUAGUCCGGAUUCACUUUCCGAGUUUAGGGCAAGUCUUAUCUUAG
Molecule: ribosomal RNA, 1413 nt
Filed under: Triticum aestivum (bread wheat)
Lineage: Eukaryota; Viridiplantae; Streptophyta; Magnoliopsida; Poales; Poaceae
Description: partial small subunit ribosomal RNA
Source: RNAcentral